Molecule: ribosomal RNA, 450 nt
Filed under: uncultured bacterium
Lineage: Bacteria
Description: bacterial SSU rRNA
Rfam family: Bacterial small subunit ribosomal RNA
Source: RNAcentral
GUGGGGAAUUUUGGACAAUGGACGCAAGUCUGAUCCAGCCAUGCCGCGUGCGGGAAGAAGGCCUUCGGGUUGUAAACCGCUUUUGUCAGGGAAGAAAUCUUCUGGACUAAUACUCUGGGAGGAUGACGGUACCUGAAGAAUAAGCACCGGCUAACUACGUGCCAGCAGCCGCGGUAAUACGUAGGGUGCAAGCGUUAAUCGGAAUUACUGGGCGUAAAGCGUGCGCAGGCGGUUAUGCAAGACAGGUGUGAAAUCCCCGAGCUCAACUUGGGAACUGCACUUGUGACUGCAUAGCUAGAGUACGGUAGAGGGGAGUGGAAUUCCGCGUGUAGCAGUGAAAUGCGUAGAUAUGCGGAGGAACACCGAUGGCGAAGGCAGCUCCCUGGACCUGUACUGACGCUCAUGCACGAAAGCGUGGGGAGCAAACAGGAUUAGAUACCCCGGUAGUCC